CGCCUCUUGCCCAAUUCAAAUAAGAGGUCCAGCCUGCCCAGUGACCAUGUGUUCAACGGCCGCGGUAUUCUGACCGUGCAAAGGUAGCGUAAUCACUUGUCUUUUAAAUAGAGACUGGUAUGAAUGGCACCACGAAGGUUCAACUGUCUCCCAAAUCUAAUCAGUGAAACUGAUCUCCCCGUGCAGAAGCGGGGAUUUCCACAUAAGACGAGAAGACCCUAUGGAGCUUUAAACUAGGACCACCUGUUUUUCUUUUCAAACCAAUCAGGCAUAACCACUAGCUAAGCAGAUCUGGCUCCCUUGUUUUCGGUUGGGGCGACCACGGAGAAAAAAAAAUCCUCCAUGGAGAAAGGAAAUCUCUCCUAAACCAAGAACCACAUUUCUAAGCAUCAGAACUUCUGACUAUAAUUGAUCCAGUCUAACUGAUCAACGAACCAAGUUACCCUAGGGAUAACAGCGCAAUCUAUUUUAAGAGUUCAUAUCGACAAAUAGGUUUACGACCUCGAUGUUGGAUCAGGGCCCCCCAGUGGUGCAGCCGCUACUAAAGGUUCGUUUGUUCAACGAUUAAAGCCCUACGUGAUCUGAGUUCAGACCGGAGUAAUCCAGGUCAGUUUCUAUCUAUGAAGAAUUUUCCCCAGUACGAAAGGACCGGAAAAAUAUGGCCAAUGCCACAGCAAGCCUUAACCUUACCUCAAUGACACUAACUAAAUUGACUAAAACUCUACUACUAUGCCCAAGAACAGGGCUA
RNAcentral lists this ribosomal RNA (748 nucleotides) under Rhinophrynus dorsalis (Mexican burrowing toad). RNAcentral describes it as "partial 16S ribosomal RNA". It matches the Rfam family "Bacterial large subunit ribosomal RNA", at positions 1816 to 2853 of the family's 2925-position model. The record is from RNAcentral. Lineage: Eukaryota; Metazoa; Chordata; Amphibia; Anura; Rhinophrynidae.